This 524-nucleotide ribosomal RNA is filed under the name uncultured bacterium. Its description in RNAcentral is "partial 16S ribosomal RNA". It matches the Rfam family "Bacterial small subunit ribosomal RNA", at positions 28 to 523 of the family's 1533-position model. The record is from RNAcentral.
GACGAACGCUGGCGGCGUGCCUAAUACAUGCAAGUCGAGCGCAGGAAAUCAUCCGAACCUUUCGGGGGGACGUUGAUGGAAUGAGCGGCGGACGGGUGAGUAACACGUAAAGAACCUGCCCUCAGGUCUGGGAUAACCACGAGAAAUCGGGGCUAAUACCGGAUGGGUCAUCGGACCGCAUGGUCCGAGGAUGAAAGGCGCUUCGGCGUCGCCUGGGGAUGGCUUUGCGGUGCAUUAGCUAGUUGGUGGGGUAAUGGCCCACCAAGGCGGCGAUGCGUGGCCGACCUGAGAGAGGGAUCGGCCACACUGGGACUGAGACACGGCCCAGACUCCUACGGGAGUCAGCAGUAGGGAAUCUUCCACAAUGGACGAAAGUCUGAUGGAGCAGCGCCGCGUGAACGAUGAAGGCCUUCGGGUCGUAAAGUUCUGUUGUAAGGGAAGAACAAGUGCCGCAGGCAAUGGCGGCACCUUGACGGUACCUUGCGAGAAAGCCACGGCUAACUACGUGCCAGCAGCCGCCGUAA